RNAcentral lists this long non-coding RNA (870 nucleotides) under Mus musculus (house mouse). RNAcentral describes it as "RIKEN cDNA 5530601H04 gene". Lineage: Eukaryota; Metazoa; Chordata; Mammalia; Rodentia; Muridae. The record is from RNAcentral.
AGGGAUGAUGGGAAGCCUGUUCUUGUUUAUCGGAAAACAUCUGAGCCCAUGAAUUGCCAGACCCUGGAUACCUGAGACACAUCCACUUGCUUCUCAGGUUUGGAGUGCAUAAUGAGGAGAAAUAAAAACAGAAAGAUCUCCAGAAAGAAGCCAUGGUAAGAUUCAAGGUUUCACAGUCCAAGCUAAUGCCUGUGGACACUUGACCAAGUGAUCUGAGAAAAUUGGAUUUCUGGCAAAACAAGUGUACCUAGACUCAGGCAAGGGUGGAGAACAGAGGGCGACUAGAUUAAAUGGAAAGAAUGCCCAGGCAUCCCAUUGCCUCCCUUUGACGUUCCAGAACUUCAUCAAGACAGUGAUGAGCUACAUGUACACCUGGAGGAGUGUUGGGACCUCAUCUGGCUUGAACCUCUACAGCAGUCUCCUUUCAGAGGAAGGCUUCAUGAAUACGUCCUAUUUAGGGACCAUGCAGAAUACCAUCCAGCGCCAUGAACACUAGUCAGUCAGUCAGUAAUGGUGGGCUUCUUGGUGUGCUCCAGCUCAAUUUUCUCAUGUUUGAUGAUUAGUUCAGGAUCAAGCUCAGAAGCGCACAGCUGCCAGCAAGCAGUCUACUACUGAACUGCACCAUCUCUCCAGCCUGUGCUUACUCUUGAAUAGCCCCAAAGUAGUCAAUGGUAUGGCAAAAUAAACCUCCAUUUCAUUUAGAUUUUUAUAGUAUUUUUUGCCACUUAAAUUAUUUUAUGUAGUUGAGUAUGAUUUUUUUUCCCCCUAAGGAAUUCUAUGUAUCUCAAUUUCAAGAGUCUUCAGCCUUUAUGUUAUACAUAAUUUCCUAUAGAUUUCAAAGUUGCUUUAAUAAAAAGUUUAAUGUUAAAA